GGGUCAGUAGGUUGGUCGUGCCACCGGUACGUACUGGCCUCACUGAUUCCUCCUUCCUGAAGUACCGUAAUGCCAUUAAUUUGGUGUUGCGGGGAAACAGGACUGUUACUUUGAAAAAAUUAGAGUGUUUAAAGCAAGCUAACGCUUGAAUACAUUAGCAUGGAAUAAUGAAAUAGGACGAUCGAUCCUAUUUUGUUGGUUUCUAGGAUUGACGUA
Molecule: ribosomal RNA, 216 nt
Filed under: Glomeromycotina sp.
Lineage: Eukaryota; Fungi; Glomeromycota
Description: partial small subunit ribosomal RNA
Rfam family: Eukaryotic small subunit ribosomal RNA (bases 40-216)
Source: RNAcentral